CCUACGGGCGGCCGCAGUGGGGGAUAUUGCACAAUGGGGGGAACCCUGAUGCAGCGACGCCGCGUGGGUGAAGGAGCGUUUCGGCGCGUAAAGCCCUAUCGGCAGGGAAGAAGAUGACGGUACCUGUCCAAGAAUCCCCGGCUAACUACGUGCCAGAAGCCGCGGUAAUACGUAGGGGGCCAGCGUUAUCAGGAUUUACUGGGUGUAAAGGGGGCGCAGACGGCAAUGCAAGCCAGGUGUGAAAGCCCGGGGCCCGACCCCGGGAAUGCACUUGGAACUGGAUGGCUGGAGUACAGGCGGGGCAGGCGGAAUUGCUAGUGUAGCGGUGAAAUGCGUAGAUAUUAGGAGGAACACCGGUGGCGAAGGCGGCCUGCUGGACUGUGACUGACGUUGAGGCCCGAAGGCGUGGGGAGCAAACAGGAUUAGAUACCCCAGUAGUC
Molecule: ribosomal RNA, 440 nt
Filed under: uncultured bacterium
Lineage: Bacteria
Description: partial 16S ribosomal RNA
Rfam family: Bacterial small subunit ribosomal RNA
Source: RNAcentral